Molecule: non-coding RNA, 98 nt
Organism: Acanthosepion pharaonis
Lineage: Eukaryota; Metazoa; Mollusca; Cephalopoda; Sepiida; Sepiidae
Source: the annotation of a GenBank genome assembly
UUAAAAUACUGGUUUCCCUACAAUCACCGAAGUUAAGCAACUUUGAGCCUGGUCAGUAGCUGGCUGGGAGACCACUUGCGAAUACCAGACGCUGUAGG